RNAcentral lists this unclassified non-coding RNA (20 nucleotides) under Mus musculus (house mouse). RNAcentral describes it as "oocyte_clustered_small_RNA430". Lineage: Eukaryota; Metazoa; Chordata; Mammalia; Rodentia; Muridae. The record is from RNAcentral.
AACACAGCAGUUCCACACCA